GCACGUAGGGGGCAAGCGUUGUUCGGAAUUAUUGGGCGUAAAGGGCAUGUAGGCGGUUUCGUAAGCCUGGUGUGAAAUCCUGCAGCUUAACUGCAGAAUUGCAUUGGGUACUGCGAGACUUGAAUCACAGAGGGGAAACUAGAAUUCCAGGUGUAGGGGUGGAAUCUGUAGAUAUCUGGAAGAAUAUCGGUGGCGAAGGCGGGUUUCUAGCUGAUGAUUGACGCUGAGGUGCGAAAGUGCGGGGAGCAAACAGGAUUAGAUACCCUGGUAGUCCGCACCGUAAACUAUGUACACUAGGUGUAGGGGCAUGAGUCUCUGUGCCGAAGCUAACGUGAUAAGUGUACCGCCUGGGAAGUAUGCCCGCAAGGGUGAA
RNAcentral lists this ribosomal RNA (373 nucleotides) under uncultured bacterium. RNAcentral's name for it is "bacterial SSU rRNA". It matches the Rfam family "Bacterial small subunit ribosomal RNA", at positions 523 to 898 of the family's 1533-position model. The record is from RNAcentral.